UUACAUAUUAGUAUUGUAAGCUAAAAGGGGUUGGUCAUCUUAUGAAAAGGAGAGGCAUCAAGGAUUUGCUUUUGUGAGAACCAAGGCUGCCAAGCAAUGGUGGACGAAUAAAGCAAUCAAGCAAUCAAACCAGAAUGCUCAGAAGCAAAAAACUAAAGCAGACACACACACUCUCUCUCUCGCUCUCUCUCUCUCUGUCGAUAUUUGACAUUGGUCAUGAGACGUAUGCUGCAAAAACAGUUAUUGUGAGUAGAAAAUGUACAUGUUGAGCAAAAAAUUAAAGCAGACACUCACUCACUCUCUCUCUCGCUCUCGAUAUUUGAUAUUAGUCAUGGACGUAGACUGCAAAAGUAGUUAUUGUGAGUAGAAAAUGUGAUAUGCAUUAUGCAUAUGGUGGUGGCAAAAGGGAAAGCAAAGAAAUAAAAGAGGAAUGGUUGCUGUUGAUGAAGCCUGAUGAGAGACUGACAGAGCUACGCCAUUUUGGAAGAGCAAAGCAAUCAAAGACUAAAUCAAACCAUGCAGGGCUCGGAAUUCCACGACCUCAAUUUUUAUUGCAAAUAUAACUUACACGACAGCCCACAUAAGAGUCUCGAGCUCAGAAGGUCAUCAAUUUGUAGCUUGACAAUGCCACCACCACCACCCCAAUGCCCUGCAACUAAUCUCCCCCUUUCGUGGUCGAGAGAGGGCAGAGGUUUAUGUAGCUCUAUCAUGCCAGAUCAGUGGUAUUUUGGGCUUAGGUCGGUCAAUUGAAUUAUUUGCAAAUGGCUAAUUUUGUACUAAAGAUACUAGACCACAUGUUUGUUUUCUCUAUUACAAUGGAGGAAGUCAAAUCUUGAACCCGUUCUAA
This is a long non-coding RNA of Pyrus x bretschneideri (Chinese white pear), 847 nucleotides long. RefSeq lists it as uncharacterized. NCBI's taxonomy places the organism in Eukaryota, Viridiplantae, Streptophyta, Magnoliopsida, Rosales, Rosaceae. The record is from RefSeq and is a predicted model, not a curated record. The transcript has 2 exons.